Molecule: long non-coding RNA, 3286 nt
Filed under: Cottoperca gobio
Lineage: Eukaryota; Metazoa; Chordata; Actinopteri; Perciformes; Bovichtidae
Description: lncRNA (ENSCGOG00000010776.1)
Source: RNAcentral
UAGAAGGAGUCUUAAACCGUAGAAAGUGAAAGUAAAGGUGGGAGAAUGUCUGCGACACUGCACCAGAGCAGACGAUCAACGCCAUAGCAAGGUAGGAUCACUCUAUUUCUAUCUACUAAUAGUGUUACUAAUAUCACUAUUCUGGAUUUGUGUCUGUCAAAUGUAACGACUCCACCACCAGUUGGACUUUAAUGGCAGCGGCCACACAACGAGAAGUGUCUUAUUGAACAGGCUUCUGGAGUGAUUUGUAGGAGGUGUCUGAGGUCUGCAGAGUCGUAUGCUGGACAAGAGUGGACCAGAAUGAAUAAAAGCUCCUUCUUCCCUAGUGUGAGUUUGGAUGGUAACGGUGGCAGCAUGACAUCAUGGAUAUACGCGACUCACCUAUUUCUUUUCGUUUUCCUGAGCACGAUCGGCCUAUCAGAGGAGGGCUGUGAUGAAUAUUUUCAAAUGAAGGACUGGGGAGGAAAGCUGAAUGAAACGUUUGGCCUCGUGAGAACUAAGGAUUCCAAGUACACAAUGGAAUGUACUGCGGAGAAUGAGUGCCUGAACAACAGCAACUUAGGAUGUAAUUUGCUACAUCAAUGCUUUUUGCGGAAAGAUGAUUUAAAUAAUACGAAGAGUGAAAAGUGUAAAGGGGAAAUUUCUCACAAUGUCCAUUACUAUCACUUCAUGUGCUUGACGGCCCAAGCUAUCAACCGCACUUACGAAGGCUGCGAAUACGAAAACGAAUGCAAGACCUAUUCAGAAAUAGUAUCCACUGCCGAGACCUUAACCCUGAAGAUGUUAUUAGUGCUGUCUGUGGUCGUCAAUGUGAUCUCUCUGGCUGUUUACCUGUACAAGCGCCAAACGUGGAGACAGGAGAGGAUACAGUGGGCAGACACACCGCUGCCCUCUACAAAAGGGGAGGUAGAGACCACAUAUUUAAUGAAGCCUUUUGGGUGUAACUCCGUCCUCACAUAUUCAAUUGAUGAUGAUGAUAGGAAAAGUGUUGCUGUUGAAGAGGACAAGCAGCAUUAAAGACCCUACUCACCGUAGAUCUUAAUGAAACACAGCUGUGGGAUGUGACAAAUGCCAGUGAAGGGCAAUAGUUUGCAAAUACCUUGGGCCCCAGACUGAAAGUGAACAAGCUGCAACAUGCCUGCUGCUACAUGCCUGCUGCAACAUGCCUGCUGUCUCAGCCGCGGAAGGUAUUGCCCCAGCACUAAGUGUAAGGGAAUUGAAGUGCAGCAGGACUGUAUAGAGUCUAAUUGACUGAGCUACUUGUCUGGACUAAAUUUGAAGAAUUUGUACCCCUGUGACCAAACAGAAACACAUUGAGAUAUUCACAGGAGAGGGAGUUUGUUUUACCACAGACAAGAGAGAGGGCCAAAGGUUAAAACACCGCAAUGAAAUAUUUGCCGUCAAACCCAAUUCGUCUAAUGGGUAUUAUAAUCAAAAUAAAGAAACUAGUACAGGCCUUUUGUUAGAUAGACAGGUCAUGACAAUAUUAAUAAUAAUCUUUAUUUGUAUAUACAAGAAUUGCAGCCCAAAGUGCUUCACAGCAAAAACAUAACAAUUAGUACAAGAUUAGACAGAAUAAGAGCAUUUACUAUAUGAACUAUAACAAAGCUGAUAAGCCGAAUACUACUAAAGUUAUCGAAUGUUUGCUUCUGAGAAUAAAUACACAGGCAACACUGUUUUUACCAACCAGGACACGUAAUACCUGACCGACACAUAUAUUUCACAGUAUGUAGGGCCUUGUGAAUGUGCAUGCAGCUUUUGUGUUACCUAACUUCACUAUACAGUUUGAAUCUAGUAAUAACAUUACAGCUUUAAUGUCUCCAUUGAUAAAGUAUUUUUACUCACUCCUUCAAUCCAGUCCAACCGUCCAAAGCCGUUAGAGAAAUAAUGCAUGUGACGCAAACUGCACAUUUUGUGGGACGAUGGCUCAGUGAGCCUUUUGCAGCUUUUUGGUGUUUUAAAAUGUCGCCUGAUUUUCUUUAUGUAACAGUCAGACAGAGCAGCAGACAAAGUUCUCUGGGCAUUAGAAACAAAAAAAAGUUUAUUUAUUUGUUUGUUUUGUUGUUUUUUGUUUAGUUUGAUUGUGAUGAAGAUGAAGCUGAAAUGCUGGUCGUGCGCCAAAGAAAGAACAUUUGAAAUGCAUCUAUAUGUGAGCUGCCCAGAGAUUUAUAUUUAUUAUAAUAAAAUGUUAUAAUAACGCAGUCUGAUCCACAGCAUUUUGACCAAUCUUUCAUAAACUGUAAAAACAACCUGACGUUUAUGUGAAAAGUUAUUUAAAACGUAGUUAUUCUGGAUAGGUUCUCCCUCAGACGAGCUUCACAAAUAGAAGCUCUUUGUGUUUAAUGUCAAAUAAACUGUCCACUUAAACAUAUAUAUUCUUUGGACAUGUUACAAAUGGCUCUCAAACAAAUGCAUAUCUAAUACAAAUGAUUUAUGUCAUUUUCUUUUCUGCCAUCCAGAACAAAUGUCAAUAUCUUAUCAGUUGAUAACAUAGAAAUAUCAUUUCAUAAUCAUAACAUACCACCCAUCUGCCUCUCAUAAAUUUGGCAUUUAGCAAGUGUUGUGCUUUGCUUGUAUAUUUUUUAUUAAGUCAUCCAGUUUAUUUAUGGAGCUUUUAACAGACUGAAGAAGAUUGUCCCAGUGUGUCUGCAUGUGUGUAUGUAGGUGAGGUUUUAAUACACGCAGCCAGGAUGAAAGUACUUGUGCAUACAGCUUAGUGUUUAAUAAUAACAGACUGAAGUAUGAGAAAUGUGAGGAGGCGGAAAGAAUGUCACUGGUUGAGAUAAUUACUAAAUUACUUUUGUUUUUCACUCACUUCAGUUAAAGCUGGCCCGUUAGUUCGCUGAGGUUCAGCUCCUCGCUUGUAGUUGUUCCAUGAGACCAGCAGUAGUUGCAUUACAUUAAAGGUCUACAUUAAAAUAAAAAAUGUUCUACUGAUUAAAAGUUAACUCUCGAAAACAAAAGAUCGUUGAGUAUUCAUCAUUUUGGCAGCAUGUUUCAGAGAUAAAGUGGAGUGUGCUCAAUCCUGUUAUGAAAAGCAAACGAAACAUCUAAGUGAUGCCAGGUCUGUUUGUAUUAUUUAACUCCUUUGGUACUUUUUGCAUUGUAUGUUUGUAUUGUAAAAUGUAUUGUGAAAAUGGGAAGAAAUGUAUUCUUACUGACUGUACAAUGUGUUUUGUGUAUAAUUGUUAUGUGUUUAUAGCUGACCAAAGUUCUACACAUAACAGCUUUAAUAUGUGCAUACAUCAUGACAUACCUUAACAAAUAAAGUCAUAAUAAUCUGAUU